Canis lupus familiaris (dog) is the source of this 815-nucleotide long non-coding RNA. RefSeq lists it as uncharacterized. The transcript is spliced from 4 exons. Lineage: Eukaryota; Metazoa; Chordata; Mammalia; Carnivora; Canidae. The record is from RefSeq and is a predicted model, not a curated record.
UCUCACACCAUGUGGUUUCCCUCAGGUUCAGACAUCGCUCCUACACCAAGUAUCCUUGGGAUUUUAGGAAUUUGCUGCUCAGGAGUCAGUGAACUGUGUGGUUUUUCCUUAGUGUUUUGCCAUUUCCAUAAAGGGAAUCUAGUGACCCAUCAGCCUUCAUGUCCUGUCUGCUUUGAGAUUGAGGAACUUUCAAGAAUCUACACUGUGAAAUGUGUGUAUUUACCUGCAGGAUAUUGUCGAGAUGGUGGCUCAUUAUAUUACAGAUGGUCUAUUUAUGUGGGUGCAGAUCUCUAAUUGAUCUACGAGUCCCUGGAAAAUCUCAAGCUCCAACUGUUUGAGUAAUGAUCCAAUAAAGUCUAAUAAGCCAUCCCCAUAGACGAUCAAGUUCAAACAAUGACAUACACGGAUCACAAGCUCCCUGAGGGCAGGACCUGUGACUGUCUUGUUCAUCUGGCACAGUGUGCACGCUCUGAAAAUGACAUGCCAGUGACAUGCCAUGACUCUGAAAUGACGUCCUCCCUGGGUCUGGAUAUCACUGUUCAGCUUCACCCAGGGAAGAUGACCUUGUUGUAGAGGAUCUAGUGCUCUCCAUUUGGUGCUUAUUCAAGAGGUGAAUGAAAAAGGAAUUAUUUUAAAAAGUGAGCAAGACAUUCGUGGUCCUUCAAUUAAUAUGUGUGACAGCUCUAUGAAAGGAUAAGCCUCAGAGUGCCCAGUCUCUCUAAUUCAUGCUCAGGGGAUUUGUUCUUAUAAGUCCUAUUAAGUAGGUAAAUCCCCUGCAUAUCUGAGAAAGCACAGACUAACAAACAUCAAUUUAC